Molecule: ribosomal RNA, 543 nt
Filed under: uncultured bacterium
Lineage: Bacteria
Description: bacterial SSU rRNA
Rfam family: Bacterial small subunit ribosomal RNA
Source: RNAcentral
GAAUAUUGCGAGUGCCCGCAAGCCUGCAUCCACCAUGCCGCGUGAGUGAUGAAGGCCUUAGGGUCGUAAAGCUCUUUCGCCUGUGAUGAUAAUGACAGUAUCUGGUAUAGAAACCCCGGCUAACUCCGUGCCACCAGCCGCGGUAAUACAGAGGGGGUUAGCGUUGUUCGGAAUUACUGGGCGUAAAGCGCGCGUACGCGGAUUACUUAGUUAGAGGUGAAAUCCCGGGGCUCAACCCCGGAACUGCCUUUAAUACUGCUAGUCUUGAGUUCGAGAGAGGUGAAUGGAAUUCCCAGUGUAUAGGUGAAAUUCGUAUAUAUUCGGAGGAAAACCACUGGGGAAAGCGGCUCCCUGGGUCGAUACUGACACUGACGUGCAAAAGUGUGGGGAGCAAACAGGAUUAUAUAUCCUCGUAUUCCACUGCGUAUACGAUAAAUGCCCUUCGUCGGGGAGCAUGCUAUUCCGUGACUCUCCUAACCGAUUAAUCAUUCCUCCUGGCUGGUACGGUCGCACGAUUAAAACUCAAUCGAAUUGACUGACGGA